Molecule: ribosomal RNA, 253 nt
Filed under: uncultured bacterium
Lineage: Bacteria
Description: partial 16S ribosomal RNA
Rfam family: Bacterial small subunit ribosomal RNA
Source: RNAcentral
UACAGAGGGGGCAAGCGUUGUUCGGAAUUAUAGGGCGUAAAGAGCUCGUAGGCGGUGUGUCGCGUCUGCCGUGAAAGUCCGGGGCUCAACUCCGGAUCUGCGGUGGGUACGGGCAGACUAGAGUGAUGUAGGGGAGACUGGAAUUCCUGGUGUAGCGGUGAAAUGCGCAGAUAUCAGGAGGAACACCGAUGGCGAAGGCAGGUCUCUGGGCAUUAACUGACGCUGAGGAGCGAAAGCAUGGGGAGCGAACAGG